This 646-nucleotide ribosomal RNA is filed under the name uncultured bacterium. RNAcentral's name for it is "bacterial SSU rRNA". It matches the Rfam family "Bacterial small subunit ribosomal RNA", at positions 202 to 836 of the family's 1533-position model. The record is from RNAcentral.
UAAAAGUGCUGCAAGGCACUGGUAGAGGAUGGACUUAUGGCGCAUUAGCUGGUUGGUGAGGUAACGGCUCACCAAGGCGACGAUGCGUAGCCGACCUGAGAGGGUGACCGGCCACACUGGGACUGAGACACGGCCCAGACUCCUACGGGAGGCAGCAGUAGGGAAUUUUCGGCAAUGGGGGGAACCCUGACCGAGCAACGCCGCGUGAAGGAAGAAGGAAUUCGUUCUGUAAACUUCUGUUAUAAAGGAAGAAAGACGGAUGGAGGAAAUGACAUCCGAGUGACGGUACUUUAUGAGAAAGCCACGGCUAACUACGUGCCAGCAGCCGCGGUAAUACGUAGGUGGCAAGCGUUAUCCGGAAUUAUUGGGCGUAAAGAGGGAGCAGGCGGCAGCAAAGGUCUGUGGUGAAAGACUGAAGCUUAACUUCAGUAAGCCAUAGAAACCGGGCAGCUAGAGUGCAGGAGAGGAUCGUGGAAUUCCAUGUGUAGCGGUGAAAUGCGUAGAUAUAUGGAGGAACACCAGUGGCGAAGGCGACGAUCUGGCCUGCAACUGACGCUCAGUCCCGAAAGCGUGGGGAGCAAAUAGGAUUAGAUACCCUAGUAGUCCACGCCGUAAACGAUGAGUACUAAGUGUUGGAAGUCAAAUU